GAUGAACGCUGGAGAAGUGCAAAAUACAUGCAAGUCGAGCGAACAAAAAAACAGAUAGAUAAACUAACAUAAGAGGAGGAAAGAAAAGAAACACAUGAAUCAACUCACACUAAGACUGGGAUAACUACGGGAAACCGGAGCUAAUACCGGAUAAUAUAUUGAACCGCAUGGUUCAAUAGUGAAAGACGGUUUUGCUGUCACUUAUAGAUGGAUCCGCGCCGCAUUAGCUAGUUGGUAAGGUAACGGCUUACCAAGGCAACGAUGCGUAGCCGACCUGAGAGGGUGAUCGGCCACACUGGAACUGAGACACGGUCCAGACUCCUACGGGAGGCAGCAGUAGGGAAUCUUCCGCAAUGUGCGAAAGCCUGACGGAGCAACGCCGCGUGAGUGAUGAAGGUCUUCGGAUCUUAAAACUCUGUUAUUAGGGAAGAACAAAUGUGUAAGUAACUAUGCACGUCUUGACGGUACCUAAUCAGAAAGCCACGGCUAACUACGUG
Molecule: ribosomal RNA, 497 nt
Filed under: uncultured bacterium
Lineage: Bacteria
Description: partial 16S ribosomal RNA
Rfam family: Bacterial small subunit ribosomal RNA
Source: RNAcentral